RNAcentral lists this ribosomal RNA (468 nucleotides) under uncultured bacterium. RNAcentral describes it as "partial 16S ribosomal RNA". It matches the Rfam family "Bacterial small subunit ribosomal RNA", at positions 28 to 507 of the family's 1533-position model. The record is from RNAcentral.
GACGAACGCUGGCGGCGUGCUUAACACAUGCAAGUCGAACGGAAAGGCCCUGCUUUUGUGGGGUGCUCGAGUGGCGAACGGGUGAGUAACACGUGAGUAACCUGCCCUUGACUUUGGGAUAACUUCAGGAAACUGGGGCUAAUACCGGAUAGGAGCUCCUGCUGCAUGGUGGGGGUUGGAAAGUUUCGGCGGUUGGGGAUGGAUUCGCGGCUUAUCAGCUUGUUGGUGGGGUAGUGGCUUACCAAGGCUUUGACGGGUAGCCGGCCUGAGAGGGUGACCGGCCACAUUGGGACUGAGAUACGGCCCAGACUCCUACGGGAGGCAGCAGUGGGGAAUAUUGCACAAUGGGCGGAGGCCUGAUGCAGCAACGCCGCGUGCGGGAUGACGGCCUUCGGGUUGUAAACCGCUUUCGCCUGUGACGAAGCGUGAGUGACGGUAAUGGGUAAAGAAGCACCGGCUAACUACGUG